This 1207-nucleotide ribosomal RNA is filed under the name Sulfobacillus thermosulfidooxidans ST. RNAcentral describes it as "bacterial SSU rRNA". It matches the Rfam family "Bacterial small subunit ribosomal RNA", at positions 196 to 1401 of the family's 1533-position model. Lineage: Bacteria; Bacillati; Bacillota; Clostridia; Eubacteriales; Clostridiales Family XVII. Incertae Sedis. The record is from RNAcentral.
CCGGAAGAAAGCUUGGCAACAGGCGCUCACAGGGGAGCUCGCGGCCCAUUAGCUAGUUGGGGGGGUAAGGGCCUCCCAAGGCGACGAUGGGUAGCCGGCCUGAGAGGGUGAACGGCCACACUGGGACUGAGACACGGCCCAGACUCCUACGGGAGGCAGCAGUAGGGAAUCUUCCACAAUGGGCGCAAGCCUGAUGGAGCAACGCCGCGUGAGUGAAGACGGCCUUCGGGUUGUAAAGCUCUGUCUGUCGGGACGAAGACCGGCCCGGAAGGGCCGGGGAGCCGGUACCGACGGAGGAAGCCCCUGCAAACUACGUGCCAGCAGCCGCGGUAAGACGUAGGGGGCAAGCGUUGUCCGGAAUUACUGGGCGUAAAGGGCGUGUAGGCGGUGCGAUACGUAGCGGUUUUAAGCCUCCGGCUCACCCGGAGGAGGGCGGCUAAACGGUCGCGCUAGAGGGCAGGAGAGGUGCGUGGAAUUCCUGGUGGAGCGGUGAAAUGCGUAGAGAUCAGGAAGAACACCCGUGGCGAAGGCGGCGCACUGGCCUGGCCCUGACGCUGAGGCGCGACAGCGUGGGGAGCGAACGGGAUUAGAUACCCCGGUAGUCCACGCCGUAAACGAUGGGUACUAGGUGUCGCCCGGGUCCACCGGGCGGUGCCGGAGCUAACGCACUAAGUACCCCGCCUGGGGAGUACGGCCGCAAGGUUGAAACUCAAAGGAAUUGACGGGGGCCCGCACAAGCAGUGGAGCAUGUGGUUUAAUUCGACGCAACGCGCAGAACCUUACCAGGACUGGACACGCUCGUGAGCGCCGCGAAAGCGGCGGGCCCUUCGGGGAGCGAGCGCAGGUGCUGCAUGGUUGUCGUCAGCUCGUGUCGUGAGAUGUUGGGUUAAGUCCCGCAACGAGCGCAACCCUUGUCGUGUGUUGCCAGCGGUGCGGCCGGGCACUCACACGAGACUGCCGGUGACAAACCGGAGGAAGGUGGGGAUGACGUCAAAUCCGCAUGGCCUUGAUGUUCUGGGCUACACACGUGCUACAAUGGUCCCGACAACGGGAUGCGACGGCGCGAGCCGGAGCCAAUCCUUCAAACGGGAUCUCAGUUCGGAUUGCAGGCUGCAACUCGCCUGCAUGAAGCCGGAAUUGCUAGUAAUCGCCCAUCAGCAUGGGGCGGUGAAUUCGUUCCCGGGCCUUGUACACACCGCCCGUCACA